This 303-nucleotide unclassified non-coding RNA is filed under the name Hevea brasiliensis (rubber tree). Lineage: Eukaryota; Viridiplantae; Streptophyta; Magnoliopsida; Malpighiales; Euphorbiaceae. The record is from RNAcentral.
AUUAAGAAACUCCAACUAGUGUAAACAUUGUGCAGUAGAAUGGACAUAAUGCAUUCAGUACCAGUGGCAUAACUUGUCAGCCAACACCAUUAAUAAGCAUGAGUUACAAGUGUAGGAACAAAGGGCAUAUGGUUAGAAAAAAAUGCAGCACUAUCACAUGUACCAAAACAUAUCAUUUCUCAGUCAAUCUUCCGCAGGCAUGGUUUGUUAGCAGUUCAAUACAAGACAAUUACAUCAUACAUGAUGCUUACAGUAAUUUCCAAGUAAAUCAAACACUUGAAUACCUGACAUCCAGAAUAGAAA